CCUAGUGAGUCAGCAAGAAAUAGCUAAACGAUUGGAAAGGAAAUAGUUGAAGUUUAGUUGUGGCGAAAUAGGAGAUUAAGUCUCAUACCGCAUGAAAAGAAUUGGCCUAUCACUAUAAAAUUCUACAGCUGAUCCUAAUACGACUACGGUUUUUGUGAUCUGCUACGGGAAAUAGUGGGCUUCUCGUUACUUGAAGUAACAAUGGUUAUUAAUUGGUUUAAGAGAAGAAGCUCUUGGCUUAUGCGGAAACACAAUCAAUUGUGUUUUUGCCGCAUUAGUGGAAAUUUUCCAUUUUUUCAGGUAAUCAUUGAAAAUAUUCAAGCUUCGUUGCAGUCGACUGCAGAUAAUACG
This is a long non-coding RNA of Topomyia yanbarensis, 351 nucleotides long. RefSeq lists it as uncharacterized. The record is from RefSeq and is a predicted model, not a curated record. Lineage: Eukaryota; Metazoa; Arthropoda; Insecta; Diptera; Culicidae. The transcript is spliced from 3 exons.